GUAUACCAGUAUGUAGCGACAGGGAGAAUCAUAAUCACUGAAUCGAAUCGAAUGUCAGUACUCAGUAGGAGAUGGCAGAUAUAUUAACAAGGUUAAACAAUUUUUUCUAUUUAUUUAACGUUAUCGUUGGGUGACUUGGAGAAAGAAGCAAGUUUUUUGACCGUGUAGCCAGUACACCAAUUGAUUUAAAAUGGAAGAAAAACGAGUGGUGCAUUCAAAAUCAAGAGUUGUGAGGAAGCUGUACAGCUGUGAGGAGCGUCUGAGGCCAUGGCUCAACACCUCGGACUCAGACACUAGCCAGUCGGACAGUAACAAUGAAACCUUGGUUAGAACUCACCGCGGUUACUGCAGUGACAGCAGCCCCUGCAAGUAUCUGCCUCCCAUCGGUGUCUUCUGGGACAUCGAGAACUGCCAGAUACCUCGAGGUCGAUCUGCCGUUGCUGUAGCACAAGCAAUCAGAGACAAGUUUUUCGAUGGCUACCGGGAAGCAGAGUUCCUUGUUGUGUGCGAUGUGAAGAAAGAAACGUCACAGGUGAUCCAGGAGCUGAACGAUGCACAGGUGAACAUGAUCCACGUAGGGUCACAGUGUAAAAAUGCGGCAGAUGAGAAGUUGCGGCAGAGCAUCAGAAGGUUUGCCGACAUCCAUGGCAGUAUGGCGGCAAUCGUGCUCAUCUCUGGGGACAUCAACUUUGCCCCUGACCUCUGCGACUUAAGGCACAGGAAAAAAAUACACGUCAUCUUGGUCCACAGCGACAGUUGCUCAGAGUCACUUAUAUUGUGUGCCAACCAACACUUUCACUUCUCCGCUAUUGUUGCUAACUUACCAUUCCGUGGCGAAGUGAAGUCUGUAUACCAGCCAGCAGAGUUGAGAGUGAGUGCGUUACCGCUAGCCUACGAUCCGGCUAAGGUUCGCUUGAAGCUCAAGCGAUUAACUGAGAAUUGUGGAGGGAAAGUUAGUGAAGUUGUUGGGGACAAUGCUAUGGUUCGUUUCACCUCCAUUGAAGCUGCAAUGAGAGCACACAAGAGAAUGGAAGGUGAGAAGAUAUUUGGGUCACAAAUAGUGAUCGGACAACCAACCGUUGUUAAAAACCAAAAAUUGAAAGAGUCGCCUAUUAAAGGUUAUCACAGACGGACCAAUGCCAGAAGAGAUGAUGAUAGGUGGAAUAUACCAGGUUUUGGGGAACAGACAGAAGGAACCUUCUAUAGUCAUUCAUGGAAUGAUACACUUCCUAAUUGUUCUAGGUUUUAUGGAAAUAUCCAGUCACAGAGGAGGCCGUUUUACAACCAAGAAAAUUUACCUUUGUCAGCUAGACAUUUUUUUAGUACAACUCCUCAACAAGUCAGGUUAAAACAGACUAGUCGUCAAAUAUUAGGAAAGAGAGGAGAGAAUACUUCGGAUAAUUUCUUAACUAUGCCAGCCGCAAGCGGGAGACAUUCCUUAGAUUCUAUGCUGGAUGGAGCGGAUUUUGAAGGGGAAACAAAACCAAUCUGGACAGUCUCACGGAAAGAUGAAUGGACAUCGCAGUGCAGUCAGGAGAUACGCAAGUGCCGAACACCGUCACCACAUCUACAGUUCACAGUGAAUACGUCCCUUCCUCCGCCUCCUAUUAUCAAUCUUCCCCAGAAAGAUGAUACCCAGCCUGUACUUCAGCCAAUUCCAGUGAAGCCGGUUACAAAACAGACUACAGACUCGGUUGAUAUGAUUGUCACCAACUUGGAUCAGAGUAUUGAUAUUGUACAGAUGAAAAAUGAAUUGGCUGCAGCUUUCAGCAAAUGCUGUUCGGUGAUGAACGUGUCUGUAUUCCUGCAAACGGAGGGAACGCUUGCUGCCAUUGUCAGAGUACGCUCACAAAUGGAUGCAGCAAACGCACUUAAGACAAUGGAGAAACGUAUGAUUGGCCUGAGACAAAUUAGUGUUGCACUGGCACCUGCUACACAGGAGUACACAGCAGCCACCGGUGUUGACAGUAACAAACUUGUGUCCUCUCCUAUUUUGCCCUGUAUGCUGCUUGAAGGAGGGAAGCAGCCAGAUCUGUCGCGGUGUGCAGUGCACAGCCGAGAUGUAACAGAGAGUGUGGCAGAAAGUGUACUGAGUGUAACAAUACGACUUGGUGACCUGGCAGUGCGACUUGCAGAGUUAAUCAAGUCACACGACAACCACCUGCCACUAGCCAGUUUGCCGGACUGCUAUGCUGCAAAGUACCAGCAGUUCUGCCUGGGUGGACCCAGCGUACCACUGGAGCACCUAGUAACUUGCGUCCGCAACGUAGAACUCGUCAAGACUGCUUGCGGAAAACACCUACAAUUUAGCUCACUUUCAGUAAAAAAACAGACGAUGCAGGGAGGAGUCACCACUCUCCUGGGCCAGCUGGGACAGGAGCUCACAGAACUGUUGAGGAACCAAGUGGGGUGCCAGAUAAUGUUUAACCGCUUGGCACCGGCAUACCGCCAGCACUUUGGGAAACAUAUUAGAGUCGCUGACUAUGGCUGUUGCAAACUAAUAGAUCUCUUAGAGAACCUGCCGGAUGUCAUCCAGGUGAUGGGGGAAGGCAAUGGAAGAAUGGUGACCCUGACACACCAAGCUCAGAUAGAACGGUUUUCUACAGAUCUACUGAAGCUAGUGAAGUCACAGUCCAGCAAGCAGCUGAGCCUGCAGGAAUUGCCAACUGUUUGGGAGCGCACUCUAGGCCACAAACUGGAAUCUACAGACUAUGGACUGUGUUACACAGAAGAUUUGUUGAGUCAAGUGCCGGAUAGCAUAUUACUGAUAACUAAACACCAAGAUGAGACAAUCAUAUCGAUCCCAAGGAGGCCUCAGACACUGUCGGAAAGAGAAAGAACCAGACAUUUUGCUGUGCAGGUAGUAGAAUUGCUUUGUAAGACUCCGCACUUCACACUGGAUUUCACCAAGUUUAUCCCAACUUAUCACCAGCAUUUCAAGAAGCAGUGCAAAGUCGCUGAUUACGGUUUCACCAAAUUAGUAGAACUUUUUGAAGCGAUCUCAUACGUUGUUAAGGUAGAAGGGGAAGGUGAGAACGGGCGACAGCUGACACUAACACUGUCUGAGAGGUUGAAGCUCCUGUCACAACAGAUCGCAGAUUUGGUAGUCCCCAGGUUCCCUCCGGGAUUGUCAUUACACAACCUCAACUCUGCCUACCUUUGGCAGUUUUCCACAGCUCUUAGGCCGGCAGACUUUGAGUGUUCUACACUGUCUGAACUCAUCAACAAAUUGCCCACUGUCAAGGUGGUUACGUCGGGAGGCUGCGUGAUGGUGAUCCCAGCGUCCUGUAGCUGGGGUAAGAUCCAACUCUUGCGAACUCUGCGUAUACUCUGGGAACGCAGCAGUGGACGAAUGAACAUCACAGAAUUCGAGCAGCUUUACCUCCGCUAUUACCAAAACCCUCCAAGUAGACUCAGCCUAUUUACAGAGUUGAAAUCUGUUGUGAAGGUGACAGAAGACUCCAACAUCCAGUUAACCUCUCUUCAGCUGUUUGCCAGGGAUGUGUACCGUCUCCUAUACAGCUAUGAUGGACGUCUGGCUCUCCCCAUGUUGGACCCUGCCAUGAAACGAGUACUAGACACCACUGUAACGCCAGGGCAGUAUGGCUGCCAAACUGUGGAGGAACUGCUCAAAGCUGUUGACCAUGUUGUACAUAUCACUGGGAGAGGCAACAAGAGACUAUUGGUGUUGAAUACUGAGCUUGCUGAAGUUGGAAUUCCAGUGCCAUCAGACUUUGGGAAGAUUUUAAGCCAAAGUAGUGAAAUAACAAGCCCAAGUCCAUCAGACGUACAAACACACCAGGCGAGCUCACAGCAAUUACUGGAAGGUCUCUACAACAAGAAAGCCAGCUCACAAAAGGGUCUAACACUUCUCUCCCCGGCCGAGUUUUUGCAGCCCUGUAAUGCCCUUCCAUUGCAGUUCAUCCCUUCUCCUCCGAGCCCCUCUGCCCUCCCCAAGCCGGGAAACUUCGAUCUUACACAGGACAAUAAGCAAAGUUGGAACUUACUAAUGGAAGAGCCGGUGGCCUCAAGGUCUAAUGCAUCGGACUUUAGAUCUGAGUUACAGAUAGCGUGAAGGAACUUUAUGAAAUCAUUGUAAACCAAUGUCCAGAAUCCGACCAAAAUAAACGUAAAAUGCGUUUGGCUCCUCAUUUCCAGUUGCCCAUUCAACUUAAAUGAGAACCAUGCAGUUCUGCCAACCUAACUUGUCUUUCAUCUUAAUAUCCCCAAAUUGUAGAUCAGGGGACCAUCACAGGUUUACCUACCAACUUUGAUACUUUUAUAAGAAAGUAAUUUUUUAAACUGUAUUUUUACCAAAUUGUGUAUAUCAUUAUUUUAACUGUUGAUUUCGUGAUUUUUGUAUUAAGAAUUUUAUUAGUAAAAAGAUAUGAUCAUUUUAAAGAUUAUUAGAUUUUAGCAGUGAAGAAUACAAUUUAAUGUGAUCAUGAUAUACCGGUGUGUGUACAGGUUCUUCUUCUGUACUUUAUUAUAUAUUAUGUGAUUUAGGCUUAUAUAUUAGUUUUUUUUUUAUUAAUAGUACUUAUUUUAAUUAAAACACUCGGUAAAAUGCCAAUAUUGUAAAAUGAUUUCCAUUGUCAAUUGUAGUGUGUACAACUAGUCUUUCUUUAUAAACAUUUAUUAUUGUAUGUAUUACUAUUCUUAGUGCAAUCUUAAGUGUUUUUUCCUUUAUGUACAAUAAUGUUUCUUAUUGUGUUUCACAACAAACCUAACACUUUUCUUUUUUAGAUGGAAAAUUUUACAUGAUAAAGUGUGCACUAGUUUAAUGAUGAAAAAAUAGUUCAUUAAAAAAAAAAUUUCUGGAUCAAUUUAGUGAAUAAAUAUCUCCAUUAGAUGUUGAAAAUGAAGUAAAUAAAAAUGAUUUAUAAGCCUAAAGUUUUGAUGCUUUGAAUUAUAAAAUAUUGCAGUUAUCAUCAUGUCAAUUUCCCUAACCCAAAGUAAUACUUCUAAGUUUGAAGGAGGGGGAAAUGUUGUGAAAAAUACAUUUUUUCAGAAAAUGCUCAAGAAUGUCAAGUAAAAAUAUUUAUUACAUUUUUUACAAUUUUCUUAAAAAUUGAAGAUAAUAAUUUAGUUUAUUAGUUUAGCAUUGGUGAUAGUUUCUUAAUUUUAGGAGUAUUCAUAAUGUCUUAUUAAUUAAUUGAUCAUGGAUAUAAGUAAGAUUCGCUUACAAAGUGUAUUUUUCACAACAUUACUUACUUCUAUGUUGUUGAAUUUCAAUCAAAACUUAAGAAGAUUAAUUUUGUUAAUAUAUGAUUCAGUUUACCUUUGUAUUGGAAAAUGGUUUUCUUAAGCAUUGUAAUUUUUUAUUGUUAACCUAGUAACUGACACCAUUCUUUCAAAAAAUAGUUGAGAAAGUUUUGCAGGUAAAUUGGGUUUAAAGUAGUAAUUAGAAUAACGUCUAAUUAUUACUAUUGUACAUUAAAAACAACAUUUUCUAUAACUGUGUAGUUCCUCUUAAUUAAUAACUGCAUCUGAUUAGUAACUGUUAAUUUGUUUAUUGUAAGGCUAUUGUAACAUAUAACAAAUUAUCAACAAUAAAUCAACAUUCUAAAAAAGAAAUAUUUGUAAGUAUAGGAGUUCACAGAUUGGUGUGUAAAUAAAAAAAUUAACAUAACUAUAUCAAAAAAGAAAAAUAAUUAAUCUUUUAGUGCUGUUUUAUCUAGUAACAGUUCGGGUAGAAAUAUUCUCCAAUGUUUCUUGAACAAACAAACAAAGAACAUUCUAGAAGCUCCUUUCUUAUUGAAAUUAUUUAUAAAUUUGAAAAUAAACACUCCAAUAAUAUAAUUUUUAUUUCUGUGAAGCGUUUUGUGCUCAAGGAACACAUCAUCAGACCCACAUAAAUGAAUAAAAGAACCACUUUUAUUCAUUUAUGUGGGUCUGAUGAUUCCUUGAGCAUGAAGGGCCUCAUAGAAAUAAAAAGUAUAUUAUUGGAGUGUUUGUUUUUAAAUUUAUAACAAACAGAGUGGUUAAAAUUACUUUAAUAAUAAUUACUUUAUUGUAGGUACUCUUAAUUGUAAACAAUACAGAUUCUUGGCAGAGAAUAUUACCAAAGUAAUAUUUUGGUUUUUACACAAAUAAUUCCAAUCAGUAAUGGUAAAUGACUAAAUUGACAAUAUUUUGAUUUAAAAUUAAGUACAUUUAUGUAUUAUUUUAUGUUUGAGUCUUUAUUGCUUCUUUAUUCUUCAACUGACAAAGGAUUAUGUGAUAAUAAAUCUUUAAAUUAAGUUUAUAUUUAAAGUUUAAGCUUGAGUGUGAGUCAUUAUUCUCAUGAUGUACUAAAAAAUCCAGCUAUUUUACUAAUAAGUGUAUCAAAAAGUGCCAGACCAAAUUUUGUAGUGUUGCUAAAGGUUAAUAAAACUGGUGUUGUUUUUAUUUGAUAAGUCAUACAAAGAUUUUGUUCCUUAUAAACUAGGGAACAAAAUUAACUCAUAUUAACUAUAAUCACAUUAAAAAAAUAAAAUAUACUCUAUACAUUGUUUAUUCAACCAUUUUGAAAUUUUGUAUAGAUAAAACAAAUUACCUAAAUCAAAAUCUUACAUGUUUCAUGAUAGUUAAUUUAAUUUACUUUAAAAGGAUUACAUUUAGUAGCUGUAUAUAUAUAUAUAUAUAUAUAUAUAUAUAUAUAUAUAUAUAUAUAUACUUUUUCUUUUAUUUAUAAUAAUUUUUUGGAAACAUGAUCGUCCAUGUAGCUUCCAGUUUAAUCAGUAGCACAUCCAAGUACUUUUUAUAUAAUCAACUUUAAAAAAAUUAAAAUCACAAAGGGAAUAUGGAAAUACCUUAUAAUGUAUAUACAUCGACACUAUCUUCAUCAACAUUACUCCUUGUGUUAUUACUAACAAAUGAUCUUGAAUGAUCUAUAAUACAAUAAUAAAAUGAAGUACAAUUUAAUCAUUUGAAUAUAGACUACAAAGAGAAUAGAUAAAAACAUUUCAGAAAUAGCUGACUUGAUCAUCAGUGAGUGUAUGACUAACAUGAUAUGCUCAUUGUUUUGAUACGAUUUAGUCUUUGAUUUAUAUUCUGUUAUGUCUCAAAUUAUAAAUAAACAAGGGUUUGUUUCUUUAUGGAAAAGUGAUGCAAAUUAAAAGACAAAAUAUGUAUUUGAACACUUCCUAUUAUCAGACGUUUCGUAAAAACAAACAUUGGUACUUUUUGCACACUUCUAAACAUCUGGUUACCAGAUGUUGGUACUGAAAGGUUUAAGUCACAGCCUGUCUAAAUCCGUUAGUCUACUCACAAGUCAGUUUAAGGUUAAAUAACACUAUAAAACUCUUUUUAUACAUAUAGCUCCCUUUCCUGUUCAAACUGGAUGUAACACAUAAAUAUUGCAACAUACUAAAGUAAUGAUAUUUUCAUCCUCCUCUCUCAUUUAAUUAACCAAGUCUCAUUACCUACAAUAUCUUCUUCCCUAACUUUAUUUCAAACAUCAAGAUUUUAUCAUGCUUCCAUAGCAAUAAAUAUUCUUAUUUAUAUAAUUAUUUUAACAAUACAAAUCAGUAAAUCACUUUAAAAAAUUCCACCCUAUAUCUUUUAUAUUGUAUGUUAUAUGUUUAAUGUAACUUAUGUUUUUCAUUAUCUGGAUUUCAAAUAAUAAUACUUAAAGUGUUGGGUUUGUUGUACUUUUAUUAAAGAACAUUAAAACAAUUUCACAAGUUUGUUUGCUUGUAUAUAGUGUUUUACAUUGUAACAGAUGAAUAAAAUUUAAAAUAGGCCUACUUAUUACCAGUUCAAUACUUUAUUUCAGCCAACUCUUUAAUUUUUGAGAAUAAUAUUGUAUUAUUUAUCAUUUUAUCUUGAUAAUGUAUAAAAAUACAACUAAAUAUUUAAUAUUAUAAUAAAGUAGUUGGAGUUGUAUUUCUAGAAAUAAAUUGAGAGACUAAGAUAAUGGUGCAUUUUAAAUAUAUAUUAAGUUUAAAGAAUAAUGUAAGGAUCAGAAACAAUUAAAGAGUAAGAUUGUAAUUUUUAGAUAAGGUAAUAUUCCUAAAUGCCCAUUUCCAAUUAUUAUUUACCAGUAGAUAUUGAUUUAAAAAUAUAGUCAAUAUUGAGAUCCAUCUUAUUAUUGAUUUGUUAUGUUUUUUCAAUUGUAUAUUGUGUAAAUGUAAUAAAGACCAAUUGUGUAAAAUAUUUUUGUCAUAGACAGAAUUAGUUUUCCUACCGCUUAAGUUUUGGGUAUAAAAAUAUCACUCAGCUGAAAUUCUGUCCUUGAACAAUAUUAUUUUUAUUUAUUUUAAAAAUAAAAAACAAUAUUUCUUGUUUUGAAACAGUUUGUUAUAUUACAUUUGUUCUCUAGUAAGAUGAAGCUGUGACCGACCAGGGGAACAUUCAAAUUUGUACAUAUUAAGUGUUUUUGAGUUCCAUUCUUCGUAGUACAAACUGUUGAUUUCCUACAACAUUCUGUUGUGAUAAUGAUGUACAUUAUUAAAUCAAGAAUAAAUAUUUUAUUAUCUGUGCUUUUACAUGGAUUAAUUAAUGUUGUAGCUUUACAUGAUUUCAUUUAAAAGAAAAGAGUGGACAUUAAAGAUGGCAUGAUUUUACUAUUGUAGGUUAGCGGAUGGAAACGGUUUUUGUCGAUAUCAUGUAAAGCAUUGUACGAUACAGAAUACUGCCAAAAAUACAGGAUUUUGUAAAAUAUGUACAAAACCUAUUAAUAGCUUUAGCAUUUAGUUUAAAUGUAAAGCUGUGGAUGUAUAAUGAAUGAGAGGUACAACAAGAAUUUUCCGGUGUUGUUAAUUUCUGAAAAUGUUUGAAUUUGGUAGUUUUGAAAAAAAAAUUUAAUUAAAACUAUAAGAAAUCACUAAUAUGUGUUGCAUCUAAAAUUGUCAAAUUAUAAUAUAUAAUUAUAUUAAUGAUACACAUUUUUGUAUUAUAAUAAUUUUAUUUAAGCAAAUACUAAUUAUUUAUUCUUGUAUUGUUUAUUAUACAUCCCACAGUAUAUGAUCUCCUAGUAAUAAGACAUAGUUUUAAUCUCAUAAAUAUGUUAUUGUCAGCUUUUGUACAAUUUAUAAAACUGUUAUGUUUUAUUUCAUUAACAGCAGAACACGUGGGCAUUCUUAUGGGAUUGUAUUAAAUAUGAUAAAAUGACCAAUGUGGUUGUGUUUUGCAUGAAAUAUAGUACAAGUGUAUAAGAAAUUAUUGUAAGCAAAAUUAUUUGAAUUAAUGUUGUGGUGGUUCAAGUUUUAUGUUAGACUUGUGGACUGUUUUGUAGAAAGAUAGUUAAAAAAAUCAAAUGAAGUUCAAUGUUAUUCUAGUUAUAUUAAAUAUCACUAAGUUUAAAUUUGA
Homalodisca vitripennis (glassy-winged sharpshooter) is the source of this 9294-nucleotide RNA transcript. It is a transcript of the gene named meiosis regulator and mRNA stability factor 1-like, with no coding region annotated. Lineage: Eukaryota; Metazoa; Arthropoda; Insecta; Hemiptera; Cicadellidae. The transcript is spliced from 30 exons. The record is from RefSeq and is a predicted model, not a curated record.